Molecule: ribosomal RNA, 460 nt
Filed under: uncultured bacterium
Lineage: Bacteria
Description: partial 16S ribosomal RNA
Rfam family: Bacterial small subunit ribosomal RNA
Source: RNAcentral
CCUACGGGUGGCAGCAGUGAGGAAUAUUGGUCAAUGGACGAGAGCCUGAACCAGCCAAGUCGCGUGAAGGAUGACUGCCCUAUGGGUUGUAAACUUCUUUUAUAUGGGAAUAAAACAGGGUAUGCAUACCCUCUUGUAUGUACCAUAUGAAUAAGGAUCGUCUAACUCCGUGCCAGCAGCCGCGGUAAUACGGAGGAUCCGAGCGUUAUCCGGAUUUAUUGGGUUUAAAGGGAGCGUAGGUGGAUUGUUAAGUCAGAUGUGAAAGUUUGCGGCUCAACCGUAAAAUUGCAGUUGAAACUGGCAGUCUUGAGUACAGUAGAGGUGGGUGGAAUUCGUGGUGUAGGGGUGAAAUGCUUAGAUAUCACGAAGAACUCCGAUUGCGAAGGCGACUCACUGGACUGCAACUGACGCUGAUGCUCGAAAGUGUGGGUAUCAAACAGGAUUAGAUACCCUUGUAGUC